Chelonia mydas (Green sea turtle) is the source of this 1064-nucleotide long non-coding RNA. RefSeq lists it as uncharacterized. The record is from RefSeq and is a predicted model, not a curated record. Lineage: Eukaryota; Metazoa; Chordata; Testudines; Cheloniidae. The transcript has 2 exons.
UGCCUACAGGAUUGGAGGACGCUUAAUUUAGUACAGGUUAUUCAGGAUCAGGAAUAAUUUGUAUGUAGGCAGUUAAAGCCUAAUCCAAAAAGCUAGAAGGUUAAAAAUAAUCCAAAUUUAGAUGCUUUGGGGGGGCUAGGUGUCUAUGUAUGCACAUUUUGAGUAAGAUUUUUAAAACCUGGUCUCCUUUGUUAUGCUCACAAUUUUCAGCUAAAAGUAAAAGGCACAAUUUUGUUCCCAGAAAUAUUUGUGGAUGUCAUUUGGGCACAGUCUUUUUAAAACAGGCUAAUAUUUUCUCUUUUUGCAAUCAUUUUUUCAGUUUGUUCCAGAAUUAUUCCUUUAAAGAAGGAGGGUUUGAUUCAAUAGAUGCUGUAAAGCAAAUCACUCCUAGAAUAAUAUAUAUUUUGCCACACUUGACUGUGCAUCUUAGAGCUAGGGAUAUUUGCUGUCUUUAUGAAGAAUGCUCUCUUGAAAUAACCCAAGACGUAUGCCUGGUAAGAUCCAUGUGAUCAUCCAGGUUUUGUGGUCUUUAUUGGACUGGAAAUUUUUCAGUUAAACAGACAAUUGCUGAUGGGGACAGUAUUGAGAACAGUGGGAAAUGCUGCAUUCACAUAAACAUUCUCUGUCGGAAGCUCCCAUGACAGAGCUUAUGUUUGUGGGAGACGAAACUUUGGAUACAACACAAUUUCCUGUAGUUAAAUGCAGACUAAACAGAAGCCCUCAGUGGCAGCAUUCCUUGGCUUUUAGGAGUAAUUUAUGUAAUGGAACAUUAACAGCUGCAUUUUAGUGGCUAUGAAAUUAUCAGAAAAUUGGCUCAAGAUAUAUUAAAUAUCUGAGGGCCUACUUUGAUUUUAUUUUCCAGUAAAUGUGUAAAUUUAUGUUAAUUCUUUCUCACUGUUUUGUAUAAUCUUAAUACAAUUAUGGCCUAUUUUAAAAGAAUUGUGUGAGUUUUAUUAGCUCUGAGGGUUUGGUUUAUUUACACUGUAAUGUCUUCAAAGGUGGAAUCAUUUAAUUACAUUGGGAAUUUGGUAGUGUUUCUCAAAAUAUUAAACCAUCUGUAAACA